This 327-nucleotide ribosomal RNA is filed under the name uncultured Verrucomicrobiota bacterium. Its description in RNAcentral is "bacterial SSU rRNA". It matches the Rfam family "Bacterial small subunit ribosomal RNA", at positions 29 to 351 of the family's 1533-position model. The record is from RNAcentral. Lineage: Bacteria; Pseudomonadati; Verrucomicrobiota.
AGCGAACGCUGGCGGCGUGGAUAAGACAUGCAAGUCGAACGGGAACAAGCGGAUAGCAAUAUUUGUUUGUUCUAGUGGCGAAAGGGUGCGUAACACGUGGCUACCUACCUCAAUGUGGGGGAUAGCUCGGCGAAAGCCGAAUUAAUACCGCAUGUGACCGUAAGGUUAAAGUCGGGGAUCGUAAGACCUGACGCAAUGAGAUGGGGCUGCGGCCUAUCAGCUAGUUGGCGGGGUAAUGGCCCACCAAGGCUUGGACGGGUAGCUGGUCUGAGAGGACGACCAGCCACACUGGAACUGCGACACGGUCCAGACACCUACGGGUGGCAG